ACAUGAGGAAAGAAGUAGGAUGGCAGUGGAUGAUGUAAGAAUAUGGCUUCAAUGGAAGAUGUAAGAAUACAGGACUGGCAGAAACGGAUGAAAUCAUCAUCCUACUCCUACUUCUGCUGUGCCAACCUGCAGAUGGUUGCUUCAGCUGCCAAAAACCUUUGACAUAGCAAAUGGUCUCUGUCCCAGCCCACUCAACCCAGAGACGUGAAGAGUUUCCCUCCUGGCUCCAGCUGGUGGUGGCUUAAGCCCAGGAGAGAAAUCUCAGCAUCAUGCCAAUGCAAGAAUUUUGUUAUCCCUGCUCUUGGGAGAAAGGCUCCCAAUUUUCCUUCUUUGCUCUAAAAAAACUAUACUCAGAGUGUUGGAUGACUUUUCUCCAUAUCAGUGAAUCUGCUUAUCGACAUCCUGUUAGAGGCCUGUGCAAAUAGUCUUCAAAAAGGAAUAAAUGAAAGACACUAGUGAAAAGCGAAGUUUGACCAGAGGGCAAAGUUCUGUCAAAAACACUUUAUUUUCCUCUGUUACUGAGACACGAACAGAUGUUUGUUUAUAACAAAAUGCCUGUGUUGGGAUUUUUGAAAGCCCAGAUGAGGAAAACUGUAUCUCAUUGCUGCUAGGAGUGCAGCCAUGUCCUAGCUGCAACCUGGGUUGGUGUGUCCUAAAAUACUAUAUUUGGAGAUUCUGGGAGUGGAAUAAAAGUGUAUAUAUUUUUGCUGAAAGGAGAUAGGGCUGUCAGUUCAGAAACACACUGAACAUCUGCUCUGGCUGAGCCCUGUGGUUUAACUAGAUUACAGCCCCACAUUAAAAUGAUCGUCAGUCAAUCAGAACGCUUCCUCAGUCUGAGAAACAUAACAUCACGCUCAGCGCUGCAGUUUCCAAAGAAGUCGAUGUGUCAUGGUAAGAAAAAAAAAAAUCAGAACAGAGAAAUAUUUCACAGUUGUGGUUUGUUUGGCUUGUGUGACAUCACAGACUGUUUAACCUAGGAUCAAACAACUUGGAAUUUGUUGUCCUAAAUGACUUUAAAUCUAGCUAAUUGUUUUGAGCACAUCUUGACUAUUAACUCUAAUUAGAAAAAUGAAAUAUAAUUCAUGUUCUUUUAGCUUUGGGAGUGUUUCCAACCAAUAAAGCUGUAGCACAGACCGCAAAUUUGUGUUGUUUCAGUGGCACAGAGAUAAUUUUCCUUUUAUUUCAAGCCCUUGAUAGCCAUUUAAGACUACCAGAAUACAGGGCUAAUAACUUAUAGGACUAUGAAUUGCCAGGGAAGCUCUGUUUUAUUAAUAAAAAGAAAGCCACCAUUACAAGAAGAAACCCCAACCUUGCCAGGCAAAUCAAGAUAACCCUCUUCAGUUGGCGUUUGGCUGUGAGCUAGUUGUAUCAUGUGUAUACAAAUAAUCCCUUGCCAUAGACAAGUUGAUAACAAUUGAAUAAAUUGUUUGUUUGUCUGAAGUAUCGUACAUGAUGCUUUGCAAGGCCUUUUGCUGUAGAAAUUUUGAAUUACUUUAAUAAAUGCAGCAAGACAUUUAAUUCUUAGUGUUUAAUUAGUUUGGUUUUGGCGUUGUGAAAUAGAGAAGAUAGAAAUGUGUAUUUUCUUCUAUAUGAUGCAUGUAACAUAAUUUUUGAAGUCUAUUUAAUAUAGACCAGCCAGAAAAUGUAUUCAGCAUUGUGGAAACACAGUGUUAAUGAAAAAAAUUCUAUAAAUCAAUGUUCAGCAAGUUGAUGCUCCCUUUCAGAAACGCCCACUGCAUGUUGAGGAAGCAUCUGGUGCAACUUGGAUGUUUUUUGUCACUGAUUUUAAUAGCUGAAUGUGCAAAAGAGCUUACUGCAAAUAUUUCAAGAUUUUUGCUGAUGGAAGUUACAGAUAUGAAUUGAGAGACUGGAAUCAAGGGACAGAUUAUGGCUGUUUGGAGCCUGAAGCACAUUGUAGCAUACAGAUCCCGUGUGCUUCUCCUGCCCCCUUCUCGUUCCUUCCCUCACACACUCUUGGAACUGCAGUGGGGGGAAGGCUUCCCUCUCAGGAAGCAUCAGUGAUCCUUUUCCUUUGCAGACAGGAAAUUUCUUGGAAGACAGACAGCUAUGUUCCCCCAUGCUUUGAAGGCUUGGCUUAGCCUGCCGCACUUUUCUCCUGGUAAUAUUUGACCAGUCCUUUAUUGGGGUGAUGCUGAAAGAGACCUUGCAGCAGCAGAUCUCACUGAGAUAAAUGUUCAUAUUGCAGACUUUAAAAAGACCACACUGCAUCAGAUAAAUGUCAUGUUGUCUACCCUUUUGGGGAAAAAUAAGGACUAGAAUAAUUGGGAAAAUAAAAUGAAGAACUGGGAAUCCAAUACUAUCAGAUGAUCUCAUGAUCUGGGAUGGUAAGGAACAGCAUUAAGGUGUUUGUCCUACGAGAAGCUGCUACAAAAAGCCACAUUUACAGGCAACACCAUAGUUCUAUGUAAAGUUCUAAGAAAGCAAACUCUGUUCCUUAAGGGAGGAAGGUGAUGGCAGAAUAAAACAAUGAAACCUCAAAAUGAGAUAAUUGUUAUUUUUUCAUCUUGGAUGUUUUGUGUUUUAUUGA
Grus americana (Whooping crane) is the source of this 2548-nucleotide long non-coding RNA. RefSeq lists it as uncharacterized. NCBI's taxonomy places the organism in Eukaryota, Metazoa, Chordata, Aves, Gruiformes, Gruidae. The transcript is spliced from 4 exons. The record is from RefSeq and is a predicted model, not a curated record.